GAUGAACGCUGGCGGCGUGCCUAAUACAUGCAAGUCGAGCGAACAGAUGAGGAGCUUGCUCCUCUGACGUUAGCGGCGGACGGGUGAGUAACACGUGGAUAACCUACCUAUAAGACUGGGAUAACUUCGGGAAACCGGAGCUAAUACCGGAUAAUAUAUUGAACCGCAUGGUUCAAUAGUGAAAGACGGUUUUGCUGUCACUUAUAGAUGGAUCCGCGCCGCAUUAGCUAGUUGGUAAGGUAACGGCUUACCAAGGCAACGAUGCGUAGCCGACCUGAGAGGGUGAUCGGCCACACUGGAACUGAGACACGGUCCAGACUCCUACGGGAGGCAGCAGUAGGGAAUCUUCCGCAAUGGGUGAAAGCCUGACGGAGCAACGCCGCGUGAGUGAUGAAGGUCUUCGGAUCGUAAAACUCUGUUAUUAGGGAAGAACAAAUGUGUAAGUAACUAUGCACGUCUUGACGGUACCUAAUCAGAAAGCCACGGCUAACUACGUG
Molecule: ribosomal RNA, 497 nt
Filed under: uncultured bacterium
Lineage: Bacteria
Description: partial 16S ribosomal RNA
Rfam family: Bacterial small subunit ribosomal RNA
Source: RNAcentral